Molecule: ribosomal RNA, 253 nt
Filed under: uncultured bacterium
Lineage: Bacteria
Description: partial 16S ribosomal RNA
Rfam family: Bacterial small subunit ribosomal RNA
Source: RNAcentral
UACGGAGGGGGCGAGCGUUAUUCGGAAUCACUGGGCGUAAAGCGUACGUAGGCGGCUUAGUAAGUCAGAAGUGAAAGCCCAGGGCUCAACCCUGGAACUGCUUUUGAAACUGCUUCGCUAGAAUCCGGGAGAGGCCAGCAGAAUUCCUAGUGUAGAGGUGAAAUUCGUAGAUAUUAGGAGGAAUACCAGUGGCGUAGGCGGCUGGCUGGACCGGUAUUGACGCUCAGGUACGAAAGUGUGGGGAGCAAACAGG